CCCAGACUCCUACGGGAGGCAGCAGUGGGGAAUAUUGCACAAUGGGGGGAACCCUGAUGCAGCGACGCCGCGUGGGCGAGGAAGUAUUUCGGUAUGUAAAGCCCUAUCGGCAGGGGGGAAGAAAUGACGGUACCUGAUUAAGAAGCCCCGGCUCACUACGCGCCAGCAGCCGCGGUAAUACGCAGGGCGCAAGCGUUAUCCGGAUUUACUGGGUGUAAGGGGAGCGCAGACGGCAGUGCAAGUCUGGAGUGAAAGCCCGGGGCCCAACCCCGGAACUGCUCUGGAAACUGUGCGGCUAGAGUACUGGAGGGGCAGGCGGAAUUCCUGGUGUAGCGGUGAAAGGCGUAGAUAUCAGGAGGAACACCGGUGGCGAAGGCGGCCUGCUGGACUGCAACUGACGUUGAGGCCCGAAAGCGUGGGGAGCAAACAGGAUUAGAGACCCUCGUA
RNAcentral lists this ribosomal RNA (447 nucleotides) under uncultured bacterium. RNAcentral describes it as "partial 16S ribosomal RNA". It matches the Rfam family "Bacterial small subunit ribosomal RNA", at positions 330 to 792 of the family's 1533-position model. The record is from RNAcentral.